Pipistrellus kuhlii (Kuhl's pipistrelle) is the source of this 223-nucleotide long non-coding RNA. RefSeq lists it as uncharacterized. NCBI's taxonomy places the organism in Eukaryota, Metazoa, Chordata, Mammalia, Chiroptera, Vespertilionidae. The transcript has 2 exons. The record is from RefSeq and is a predicted model, not a curated record.
AGAGUAAGAAGGAGGAGCAAUGGGAGAUGCCAAGAUGUUAGGUGCUCAACUUUCCCUCUGGAAUGUUUUUGCAAUUGGAGGCUGAAAGCUCAGCUGUGAUGGGACUCUGACACCAACCAGCUGGCUGUUGCCUGCCCUCAGUAGUCAGAUGGCUGGAAUUCUGAAAUGGAAUAAUAUCACUGACACAGGAACAAUCAAUGCAUUGUGUUAUGGAAAAUGAAAA